CCCUCGCAGAAUAUUUUUUUAUUAUAUGCAUACCGUAAUUGAUUAUGACAGCAUGCCACGUGUAUCGUUGACACCUUUUUAAUCACCAUAAGUUAAACAAACCACUGGCACAUGUACUGUUGACACCUAUCUAAUCACCCAAGUCAGGACAAAACUACCGGUUAUUACACGAAAUUGGGAACUAAAUAUCCAACUAAAUAUGUCUUCUCUUGUAUUGUCUAUAACUGAACUUCAGAUUUUUUUUUGGCUUUUUUUUUUAUUACAAAUCUUGUGUUAUUAUAAGACAAUUUAGUGAAUUGUAGUUUCUCUGGUUUCUGAUCAUACUUUGAAUGGUGGACUCUUGGCGUUAUUUAUCUGUACAAUGUAAUACUAUUUAAUAAAGCACAUUUUAAACUCGAAGGCAUUUUGUCAUCAUCUAAGACUGAAAGCAUGCAGAUAUAAAUGGUCAUUUUCAAAGCACACUUAGCACAUUUAAAACACACACAUAGCACAUACAAAACAUACAUAGCACAGACAGACUUCUGAGUCAUAUCUGAGGUAACAUGCAAAAAUGAAUGGUGUUGUAAUUUAAAGGCAAAAGCACAAGUAUAAACAUAGGCAGGAGUAAUUAAC
Molecule: long non-coding RNA, 612 nt
Filed under: Mytilus galloprovincialis (Mediterranean mussel)
Lineage: Eukaryota; Metazoa; Mollusca; Bivalvia; Mytilida; Mytilidae
Source: RNAcentral